CCUACGGGAGGCAGCAGUAAGGAAUAUUGGUCAAUGGAGGCAACUCUGAACCAGCCAUGCCGCGUGCAGGAUGACGGCCCUAUGGGUUGUAAACUGCUUUUAUACAAGAGAAAACCCUGGUACGUGUACCAGGUUGAUAGUAUUGUAAGAAUAAGCAUCGGCUAACUUCGUGCCAGCAGCCGCGGUAAGACGAAGGAUGCAAGCGUUAUCCGGAUUCAUUGGGUUUAAAGGGUGCGUAGGCGGACUGAUAAGUCAGUGGUGAAAUCUCUUUGCUUAACAAAGAAACUGCCAUUGAUACUGUCGGUCUAGAGUAUAGAUGACGUUGGCGGAAUAUGACAUGUAGUGGUGAAAUACUUAGAUAUGUCAUAGAACACCGAUUGCGAAGGCAGCUAACGAAACUAUAACUGACGCUGAGGCACGAAAGUGCGGGGAUCAAACAGGAUUAGAUACCCUGGUAGUCCGCACCGUAAACGAUGAUUACUCGUUGUUGGCGAUAUGACAGUCAGCGACCAAGCGAAAGCGAUAAGUAAUCCACCUGGGGAGUACGCCGGCAACGGUGAAACUCAAAUGAAUUGACGGCGNGAGAGNGCGAGGCGACGACGAGGGGAGAGG
This 612-nucleotide ribosomal RNA is filed under the name uncultured bacterium. Its description in RNAcentral is "bacterial SSU rRNA". It matches the Rfam family "Bacterial small subunit ribosomal RNA", at positions 338 to 951 of the family's 1533-position model. The record is from RNAcentral.